GCGUCCUUGGUGUAGCGGUAACACACAAUCUACUUCUUUCGAAAGAUGGUGUUUUCUAAGAUUGGGUCUGGCGUUCGAUUCCCCGAGGGUGCA
Non-coding RNA from Mycena leptocephala, 93 nucleotides. The record is from the annotation of a GenBank genome assembly. Lineage: Eukaryota; Fungi; Basidiomycota; Agaricomycetes; Agaricales; Mycenaceae.